This 69-nucleotide transfer RNA is filed under the name Opisthopatus cinctipes. Its description in RNAcentral is "tRNA-Gly". Lineage: Eukaryota; Metazoa; Onychophora; Udeonychophora; Euonychophora; Peripatopsidae. The record is from RNAcentral.
GCAAAUAUAAUAUAUAAUAUAUUUAAUUUCCAAUUAAAAAAUUUAAAAUGUUAAAUUUAUUUUUUAGUA